CCUACGGGUGGCAGCAGUGGGGAAUAUUGGGCAAUGGAGGAAACUCUGACCCAGCAACGCAGCGUGAAUGAUGAAGGUCUUCGGAUUGUAAAGUUCUUUUCUAAGGGAAGAAGAGAGUGACGGUACCUUAUGACUAAGCCUCGGCUAACUACGUGCCAUCAGCCGCGGUAAUACGUAGGAGGCGAGCUUUAUCCGGAAUGACUGGGCGGAAAGGGUGCGUAGGUGGUUUGGCAAGUUAGUAGCGUAACUCCAAGGCUCAACCUUGGACCUACUACUAAAACUGUUGGACUUGAGUGCAGGAGAGGCAACCGGAAGUCGUAGUGUAGCGGUGGAAUGCGUAGAUAUUAGGAAGAACACCAGUGGCGAAGGCGGGUUGCUAGACUGUAACUGACACUGAGGCACGAAAGCGUGGGGAGCAAACAGGAUUAGAUACCCUAGUAGUC
This 443-nucleotide ribosomal RNA is filed under the name uncultured bacterium. RNAcentral's name for it is "partial 16S ribosomal RNA". It matches the Rfam family "Bacterial small subunit ribosomal RNA", at positions 338 to 795 of the family's 1533-position model. The record is from RNAcentral.